AACCUAGCACACCUGCGGUGUGUACCUGCGGAGGGAUCAUUACUGAGUCACGUGCUCAAACAACCCUUCUGUGGACCUGAAAUAAAACCGUUGCCUCGGCGGGCGGUCCCCCCCAAACCAACCCCACGUGGUGGGUUAGGGGAGACCAGACAGUCCGGUACGCUUAAGGCGUCCGGCGCCAGCCGCUGGCCCCAAACAAUUAAACUCUAGUAAUCUUUACCUUCUGAGUUUCAAUAUUUA
This 240-nucleotide unclassified non-coding RNA is filed under the name soil metagenome. RNAcentral describes it as "partial contains 5.8S ribosomal RNA, internal transcribed spacer 2, and large subunit ribosomal RNA". The record is from RNAcentral.